GAAAGAGAACGACAGUUUCCAUUUUGAGUAUCUGUUAUUGUUUGAAAGGGAAGAUAAAAAGAUGAGAUCAAAGUUUUCUCUCUUUUUAGGCCGAUGAGAUGCGAAAGUUCUUCAAUCUCCUCUCAUAUGCACGUAAUUGCUUGAUUUCUCCUCUGCAAAACACUGAUCACUACGUCUAAUUCAGUUAUUACGGAUUGCUUUAUCAUAGUUGUUACUUGCUGUACUCCUGUUUUCAUAUGGAGGCCAUCAAGAAGCAAGCUGCUAGGCUUAGAGAGCAAGUUGCCAAGCAACAGCAAGCUGUAUUGAAACAUUUGGGGCAUUUUGGUAAUGAAGCUGUUACUGUUGAUGAAGCUGAAUUUCAGUGUUAUCAACAACUUCAAAAUCUAUACAAUUCCACAAGGUCAGCUAAGCAUUUUCAGAAGAAUAUUGUUCGUAGCAUUGAAGGAUUUGUAUCUGCAAGUUCAAAGCAAAUGGAGAUAGCAAGAAAGUUGGCUGAAGAUUGUUGCAAAUAUGGAGCUGAUAAUCAAUGCACAAAUUCGUAUGUUGCAAGAUCUGUACUUCAAUUUGGUACAUCACAUAAUUUAAUGGAAAAUGAGAGGGAAACUUUCCUUGGAAUCCUUGGUGAUCAGGUUUCUGAGCCUCUUCGGUUAUCAGUAACAGGAGCUCCUUUGGAGGAUGCUCGUCAUUUAACCCAUCGUUACGAAAAACUCCGCCAAGAGGUUGAUGCCCAGGCCGCUGAAGUAUUGAGGCGUCGAUUAAAAACUAGAGAAUCUGAUAUAUCUGCGGAGAAUUGCAUGAAACUUCGAGGUGCAGAAGCAAGGCUGACUGAACUUAAAUCUACAGUUACGGCACUUGGGAAAGAAGCAACUUCUGCCAUGUUGUCAGUUGAAAAUCAGCAGCAACAGAUUACUGUUCAGUGUCUAUUUGCAAUGGUGGAUGCCGAGAGAUGUUAUCAUCAACAUGUUCUUGAUAUUUUAGAUAAGUUACAUGCUGAGGUUUGUAACCAUGCGCCCUGGCUCUGCAAUAUCUCUCUUUCUAUCUCAAUGUAUUUGUGUGUGCACUCAUGUCUAUCUGUUCAUUUAUUUAUAUCUGUGUUUUGUACUCCUGAACUUAUGGCAUUUUUUGAGUGUCAAUAGCAUUCCCUUUAGUCUGCAUUCAAUGUAUGUAUGCAGAAGAUUUAUGACUGUUGCUACUUAAAAUUUUUAUUUUUGGAGUUAGAUGAUAUUGGAGGAGCAAUUAAAUGAUUCUUCAUCACAAUCAGUGACCAUUCAGCAAGAUGUGAACACCCCAUCCGUGCAUCAAGACACUACUUCAAAUGGAUCUGGCGAUCAGAUGCAUAUUAAUCAAAAGGGCACAUUUUUCAUAGCAAAGGUUAUACAUGCAUUUGAUGCUCAAGCAGAAGGGGAGUUGAGUCUAUUUCUGGAUGAUUAUGUCGUGGUUCGUCAGGUGGCUCCAACUGGGUGGUCUGAAGGAGAAUGCAGAGGUAAGGCCGGAUGGUUUCCCUCUGCAUAUAUAGAAAAGCAGGAGAAAGCACCAGCAGACAAGAUUGUUCAAGAAAAUUAAACGUGUUUGCUAAACCAGAUCAUUCCAGGAAAGUUUUGUGAUAAUUUCAUUUUAUGUAAAAUAUAAUAGCAUCACUGAAUGGUGGUUCUUUUGGCGCGUGGUGGUGUGUAAUAAGGUUCUAUAUAUGAAAAAAAAAAUAGAGCUAAUGUGCAGUUUGUAGUUUGUACAUGAAAUUUGAUGUAUCUGUGCAGUAUAUUAUUAUUUUGUUUGAAAAAAAGGAAUUGC
This 1788-nucleotide unclassified non-coding RNA is filed under the name Hevea brasiliensis (rubber tree). Lineage: Eukaryota; Viridiplantae; Streptophyta; Magnoliopsida; Malpighiales; Euphorbiaceae. The record is from RNAcentral.